RNAcentral lists this unclassified non-coding RNA (438 nucleotides) under Glandularia mendocina. Its description in RNAcentral is "partial external transcribed spacer". The record is from RNAcentral. Lineage: Eukaryota; Viridiplantae; Streptophyta; Magnoliopsida; Lamiales; Verbenaceae.
AUUCGCGCGUAUGGGCAUGUCGGUUCCCUGCUCUGGCAGCGACGGCAUCUCGUGCGUGCUUCGUCGGUUGUUGGUUCAAGUUGUCGAUCGGCUUGAGCGACGAUGGUGUCCUGUGUUGCAUACCUAUCGAGAAGGAAUGAUGUAGUCCUAUUGUCCCUUUCCCUCCUUGUGCUGCGCCUUUCGGGGUUGCAGUGCGUGGUGGGCACCGAAGCAUUCGUCGUGUUCCAUGACUUGCGCGCUUCAUAGUGUGAUUUUGUCGUUGGCCCAUGUCGUUUUUCUCGAUCUCUUGGAUGCGGAAUACCGACGCGGUACGAGGUCAAUGGCCUCUAUUUGCCCCGAAAACAAAGCGUUCUACGCUUAAUGCGGACGACGUCCGACCACGUUUUGUCCGAUUCUCUCGGCUCAUGCGUGAUCGGCGUCGGUGAGGAAUGCUACCCC